AACACAUAUAAGUAUAGCUAAGAAAAACAUAAUUCAUUAAAUUCAUAAUUAAAAAGAAAUUUCCUAAAUAUAAUAAAAUCUCUAUUAUUCCAAUUCAGAAGUUAACAAUUAAUGGGAAUACUCUAGCAGUAUUACCAAUGAAGUCUGCAAGAAUACAGGUUAUGCUGCAAUACCGAGCAUCUUCAGUUGUGUUUCACGUUAAACUGGAGACAUUAUUUAACCCAGCUGGGAUGUGUAUGUUUAUCUCAUAGGAAUUUGGAGGACUACAUGCAGAAGUUAUCAUAUUACAACUAAAA
Molecule: long non-coding RNA, 296 nt
Filed under: Bos taurus (domestic cattle)
Lineage: Eukaryota; Metazoa; Chordata; Mammalia; Artiodactyla; Bovidae
Description: long non-coding RNA NONBTAT011032
Source: RNAcentral